UACAGAGGUCUCAAGCGUUGUUCGGAUUCAUUGGGCGUAAAGGGUGCGUAGGUGGCGCCGUAAGUCAGGUGUGAAAUUUCGGAGCUUAACUCCGAAACUGCAUUUGAUACUGCGGUGCUUGAGGACUGGAGAGGAGACUGAAAUUCACGGUGUAGCAGUGAAAUGCGUAGAUAUCGUGAGGAAGACCAGUGGCGAAGGCGGGUCUCUGGACAGUUCCUGACACUGAGGCACGAAGGCCAGGGGAGCAAACGGG
This 253-nucleotide ribosomal RNA is filed under the name uncultured bacterium. Its description in RNAcentral is "partial 16S ribosomal RNA". It matches the Rfam family "Bacterial small subunit ribosomal RNA", at positions 524 to 776 of the family's 1533-position model. The record is from RNAcentral.